UCUACGGGAGGCAGCAGUAGGGAAUCUUCCGCAAUGGGCGAAAGCCUGACGGAGCAACGCCGCGUGAGUGAUGAAGGGUUUCGGCUCGUAAAGCUCUGUUGUUAAAGAAGAACGUGGGUAAGAGUAACUGUUUACCCAGUGACGGUAUUUAACCAGAAAGCCACGGCUAACUACGUGCCAGCAGCCGCGGUAAUA
This 195-nucleotide ribosomal RNA is filed under the name uncultured bacterium. RNAcentral's name for it is "partial 16S ribosomal RNA". It matches the Rfam family "Bacterial small subunit ribosomal RNA", at positions 338 to 525 of the family's 1533-position model. RNAcentral also lists the same sequence under 1 other name. The record is from RNAcentral.